UACAGAGGUCUCAAGCGUUGUUCGGAUUCAUUGGGCGUAAAGGGCGCGUAGGCGGCGCAACAAGUCACUUGUGAAAUCUCCGGGCUUAACCCGGAGCGGUCAAGUGAUACUGUCGUGCUAGAGUGCGGAAGGGGCUACUGGAAUUCUCGGUGUAGCGGUGAAAUGCGUAGAUAUCGAGAGGAACACCUGCGGCGAAGGCGGGUAGCUGGGCCGACACUGACGCUGAUGCGCGAAAGCCAGGGGAGCGAACGGG
Molecule: ribosomal RNA, 253 nt
Filed under: uncultured bacterium
Lineage: Bacteria
Description: partial 16S ribosomal RNA
Rfam family: Bacterial small subunit ribosomal RNA
Source: RNAcentral